Molecule: ribosomal RNA, 497 nt
Filed under: uncultured bacterium
Lineage: Bacteria
Description: partial 16S ribosomal RNA
Rfam family: Bacterial small subunit ribosomal RNA
Source: RNAcentral
GAUGAACGCUGGCGGAGUGCCUAAUACAUGCAAGUCGAGCGAACAGACGAGGAGCUUGCUCCUUUGACGUUAGCGGCGGACGGGUGAGUAACACGUGGGUAACCUACCUAUAAGACUGGGAUAACUUCGGGAAACCGGAGCUAAUACCGGAUAAUAUUUCGAACCGCAUGGUUCGAUAGUGAAAGAUGGCUUUGCUAUCACUGAUAGAUGGACCUGCGCCGUAUUAGCUAGUUGGUAAGGUAACGGCUUACCAAGGCAACGAUACGUAGCCGACCUGAGAGGGUGAUCGGCCACACUGGAACUGAGACACGGUCCAGACUCCUACGGGAGGCAGCAGUAGGGAAUCUUCCGCAAUGGGCGGAAGCCUGACGGAGCAACGCCGCGUGAGUGAUGAAGGUCUUCGGAUCGUAAAACUCUGUUAUUAGGGAAGAACAAACGUGUAAGUAACUGUGCACGUCUUGACGGUACCUAAUCAGAAAGCCACGGCUAACUACGUG